GAUGAACGCUGGCGGCGUGCCUAAUACAUGCAAGUCGAGCGAACGGACGAGAAGCUUGCUUCUCUGAUGUUAGCGGCGGACGGGUGAGUAACACGUGGAUAACCUACCUAUAAGACUGGGAUAACUUCGGGAAACCGGAGCUAAUACCGGAUAAUAUUUUGAACCGCAUGGUUCAAAAGUGAAAGACGGUCUUGCUGUCACUUAUAGAUGGAUCCGCGCUGCAUUAGCUAGUUGGUAAGGUAACGGCUUACCAAGGCAACGAUGCAUAGCCGACCUGAGAGGGUGAUCGGCCACACUGGAACUGAGACACGGUCCAGACUCCUACGGGAGGCAGCAGUAGGGAAUCUUACGCAAUGGGCGAAAGCCUGACGGAGCAACGCCGCGUGAGUGAUGAAGGUCUUCGGAUCGUAAAACUCUGUUAUUAGGGAAGAGCAUAUGUGUAAGUAACUGUGCACAUAGUGACGGUACCUAAUCAGAAAGCCACGGCUAACUACGUG
This 497-nucleotide ribosomal RNA is filed under the name uncultured bacterium. RNAcentral's name for it is "partial 16S ribosomal RNA". It matches the Rfam family "Bacterial small subunit ribosomal RNA", at positions 28 to 507 of the family's 1533-position model. The record is from RNAcentral.